CCUACGGGCGGCUGCAGUAGGGAAUAUUGCUCAAUGGGGGAAACCCUGAAGCAGCAACGCCGCGUGGAGGAUGAAGGUUUUCGGAUUGUAAACUCCUUUUGUUAGAGAAGAUAAUGACGGUAUCUAACGAAUAAGCACCGGCUAACUCCGUGCCAGCAGCCGCGGUAAUACGGAGGGUGUAAGCGUUACUCGGAAUCACUGGGCGUAAAGGGCGCGUAGGCGGGAUAGCAAGUCAGAUGUGAAAUCCUAUGGCUUAACCAUAGAACUGCAUUUGAAACUGUUAUUCUAGAGUAUGGGAGGGGUAGGUGGAAUUCUUGGUGUAGGGGUAAAAUCCGUAGAGAUCAAGAGGAAUACUCAUUGCGAAGGCGACCUGCUAGAACAUAACUGACGCUGAUGCGCGAAAGCGUGGGGAGCAAACAGGAUUAGAUACCCCAGUAGUC
This 440-nucleotide ribosomal RNA is filed under the name uncultured bacterium. RNAcentral describes it as "partial 16S ribosomal RNA". It matches the Rfam family "Bacterial small subunit ribosomal RNA", at positions 338 to 795 of the family's 1533-position model. The record is from RNAcentral.